Ostrea edulis (European flat oyster) is the source of this 3339-nucleotide RNA transcript. RefSeq lists it as uncharacterized. The transcript has 3 exons. Lineage: Eukaryota; Metazoa; Mollusca; Bivalvia; Ostreida; Ostreidae. The record is from RefSeq and is a predicted model, not a curated record.
UUGAUUCUCGCGAGAACCACUCGGUCAAUUUCGCCCACGUUUAGUACUAAUCAUCAUUAGGAAAAGUGGAUUCAAGUUUGGUCGAAUGAAUGACAAUAUGCCUUACAACGUGGAAAUAAUUCAGAAUUAAUGACAACAGGAUGGGUCUUUAUGAAAGCCUCUUUCUUCAUGAAAAUUCGUGGAUGUUUAAUUUCUUUUUUUAAAUCCUCUUCUCCGGAAAUGAAUUCUGCAAGGGAUCAAUAUGUCAUGGUAAUACAUGUAAUUCAAUUUUGUUCACAACAUGACCUCAAUGUCAUAAAGAGGGUUCAAAUAUUAGAUUGGAAUAGAUCGGAAAAUUCUUAUAAAAUAUUUUAUUCUAAAGUCAAAUUGAACCAAAACCAUAAAAAAAAACCCAGGUAUGAUUGGAGGUAUUCAACGCAGGGAACUUAAGGUGACGAAUGAACUCGGUAGGAUAAAUGAGAUCAUAAUGAGCUGAUACGUUAUGACAGUUGCUCCGCCUUGAUCAACCCAUAUUUGAAUACACAUACACAAACUCUAUUUUAGGAUCAUUUAAAAAUAUAAGCCGUUUUACGAUAAUUUCCGCACAUGCGCACUCGACACGUCGAGUGACAACGGCAUCUGUUUACAUUUACGUUAGUUACAUUAAGAUGGCGACCCGCGGAAAUUUGAAGAAGUUGAGAGUUUGAGCACUCAAAGAGUUGGCAAAAGAUUUGUCAAUAAAUACAGAGAAGAAAGAAAAAGACGAACUUAUACGUGAACUUUUCGAUGCACUAGUGCCCAUCUCUUCCCUCACUCCAGUCGUUUUUCGUUCACAAAACGAAACUAUAUUUCCUGAAGCAAAGGAAAAUAUUCCUCCCUUUAAUUCGGUCGCUUGCCAAAAAUCACUACCCAGGGGUCUCAAAAUAUCGUUUUCUACUAUUUACGAGUUCAUGAUUUCAAGGAGAACAGAAUCCGGCAACAUUAUAAACAAUUUUAAAGGGAUUGGCAGAGCUGUAAAACACUAUGACGCUUGUGAUGUGAGAGAAGUGUCCAAUGCACAGGUAUACCAUAUUUGCAAUCACUUUAUAUAUUUUGACUUUAUUAAGCAUUAUAUAUUUUGAAAAUGCAAUACAGCAUACUCACUUCAGUUUAAGACUAAUGAUCGUGAAAGGGUUUAUAUUGCCUUUAUUCUACGCUUGAAAUAAGUUAAAUUUCACUGAUUUGACAACACAUGACAAGGCAUUAUGAUGAGAAAUACCCCGGUGAAGUUUGUCGUAUGGUUGGAAUCAGCGUCUAAAAAGCGCUUACUACGCACACAGCAAAGACGACGUGAAGAUGUCAGCUCUACAACUUUGAAAUCGGAAAAAUCAAGGGUUUUACACACGUUAUUUGAAGAAGGUAUGGCUAGUCUAUACUUGGAUUUUUCAACACCUGAAUAUAGACUGAACUCUAUGAUCAUGGAUGUUGCCUACCACAGGCUCUAUAAACCAGCACGGACCAUGGAUGAUAUUCCUUCCAAAUCAUGCCGUCAGUUCCUUAAGCUCAAAUUUACAAACAAAGGAAUAGAUGCCGUCAACAUAAGCAACAUUCUUCGUCAUAAAAAGGUUGAUAACAUUGGCUGAUUUGCAUAUAAUGACUGUUAGUUAUUGGCUGGUAUGCAGUGAAAGGGAGCUAAAAAGGAGUAAAAAGUUAAUUUCAGCCAGGUGAGAAUUAAUUUCUUCUUUUUUGUGUUAUACAUAUCUAAUUCUUUUCUUUUGCUGCUUCAAAUCUUGUGUAUGGGAAAAUUUUCAGUCUAAUAUGUUGGCAAUGUUACAGGUAGUAUGGUUGAAAUAAACCAGUGUUACGCGGUUGAGUUAAGGCUUUUCCCCAAAAAUUUUUAAUAUCAGUGAUUAUCAUAAAUAUACUUUACCGCACUGGCACAUUGCACGACGUCACAAUGAAAAAUACGUCAUGACGAAGGUCAUGACGUACAUAUCUACAGUCCUUUUGUGGUUGGAAAUGUCAAAAUAUUGUUUCGUUAUUUACCACCGCUGUCAAACGGUAAACUGCAAUCGCGUAAAAGUUUCUGUCAAAUGGGUUAUAUUAAUUAUCUUUGAUAUUGAAAAUGUUUCAAUUUCUUCUUUAUAUAGCAUACAUGCUAAAGUAAUAUCCAUAUUAUAUUGUGAUCUUGAUAUCGCCCCUAAUCUACACGUAUAGUUACUUUCACAAUGGACUCAUUUGCAUAAACAGGGUUUCCGUACAUAAAAAUCUCAUCAUUGGCACGACACCCCGAGGUUUUUAAGUGAAAGAUGUUUCAUUUAUGUGACAUGUGAACUUCAGUGCCAAAGGAAAGUUAGGGGAGCAAGGUCUGGCUUCAACAGAAAAUAUGUUUUUCAGGGUAGAUUCAACUUCGUAUGAGCAAAAAUCGCUGCAUCUUGCAUAUUCAAUGCAAAAAUUAGACAUGUUACAAGUCACAAUAAACUUGCUCUCAGCACUUUUCAAAUCAAGAAAUUAAUAUGCUUUGAAGUUAUAAUAACUUCAACUUUCAUUGAUAUCUGGAUAUCGUGCCAAUUCAACGAUUUAUACAUGCACGAUACGUUUUUAUCUUGAUAUUUGAUCACGUGAUACAGAGUUGAUGUAGAGACUGUCGGUCUGGUGAAAAAUGUAUAAGAAGUCAAUAUGCACUUAAUUAUAUAUACAUAUUGUUUAUGUAUAAAAGGGUUGUGUUUACAGAAUUUGUCACAAAUUGAUCUGUUUAUUAAUGCUUUUUUCCUGACAUAUUUCUAUGGCCCUACUUAACACAACUGCGUAAGGAAUGUCCAGUAAUGGGAUGACAUCAUGAGAGUUUGGCAUACAGACAUUCACAUGAUUAAUGAUGAAACUGAAAACCUCAAGUGAAAGGCAUUGAAAAUUAUCCAGUUCCCAUAUACCUGAAAAAGAGGAGGGAUGCCACAAUAUUGAUAAUAGAUUUUUGUCAAAUUGAGAAGCAAGGAUGUAUAAAAAAAAAAUGCAGAAAUUAUAAUUUAUGUAUUUGUUAAAAAUACUGUUCACUGCACAUACAUGUAUAUUUUUUUAAACUUAUCUAGAAGUAUAUGAAUAAAUUCAUAUUAAAACUGAAUGUAUGAGUUUUCAUGACUUUUAUCAAUAAAGCUUACCAUAUUUAUUGUACAUAUAUCUAAUUUCCCUUAUACAUUGUAGUCAUAUGGGAGCUUGCUGGCAUUCAGAGUUCUGACAUCAAUCUAAAAAAUAUGCAUAUUUCACCACAAGAGUCAUUUGAGCACUUAACAUGUAUCAUGUAUAAACCUAGUUAAACAACUUCAAAAUCUAUCCAACAUGUUUUAAACGAACACAAAAGGUUCUUCCUAAUUUCUUUUUUUUUCU